Long non-coding RNA from Tyto alba (common barn owl), 4305 nucleotides. RefSeq lists it as uncharacterized. The transcript is spliced from 2 exons. Lineage: Eukaryota; Metazoa; Chordata; Aves; Strigiformes; Tytonidae. The record is from RefSeq and is a predicted model, not a curated record.
AUAGAUUUCAAUGGAUGCAGAAAGAAAAAGAUCUGGCAAUAAGAGCUGGUUUCUAGGCACGGGAACCUGACUCCUUGGUGACCUGGACAGAUGACACAUGGCCUGAAGGAAGAACACAAGGAGAGGGCUGGGGCAUGAGAAAAGUCUUAAGGAACAAGGCAGAAAAGCAAAAGGGGCUUCUGUCCUUGACUGCUGUAAUUAUAGCUCCAUGCACCGAGAGAUCUAGCAGCCCUUUUUGCUAAAAGCUCACAGCCAUUGGCAACCCUAGUCUGGCUGCACAUGCAUGCCACUGAGGCUAUGGUGUGGGGUUUUUUAAUUAGAAUUUGUUAAUCUGGUAUUUCCACAGCCAUGUCUGUUCUGGGUGCUCAGUGGAAGCUAAACUAUCAUGUUUGGUAUCUCUGUUACAAUGUAGGGCCGUGCAAGGUCAAGCUUUUCAACACAAUCACUGCCUUUGAAAAAGGGCAAGAGUUACCAUAAUGUUUGUAUCUCCCCAGGAAAGACUCUGGUCCCUCUUCUCCUGGAGCAGCUCAGCAGAGGAACACAAGGUCAUCACCUCUGGCACAGGUCACCCAACAGCAGAUCCUCAGAGGACGGACUAGUGCUCAGCAUCCUGGCACAUCAUUUACAUCUCUCUCUGCCACCAACCCUAAAAUGGGGACCAGGAUACAGGUCUGAAGAAGGUAAAGCUGUGACAGCAGCGAUUGAAGUGCUGUGCUGGCAUUGCAGUGAAGGGCAGGUACCACUUCCCAGCCUUCUAUGGGUCAGAGGAGCAAACCCCCAACCAGCCAAGCGAUGCAGACCUCGAUGGCAGCAGCACACUAUGAGGGGCACGGCUCGGGGUAAGAACAGAGAGCCCCACAGAGGAAGAAGGAGCUUAAAUGGCUACCAUACAUGAGUUAAACUGUAUAUUUAAAUCCUUUUAGCUGGAUCAAAAAUAGUUGGUUUGGCACGGAUAACAAGUUUAAAAAUUAAGUAUAUACCAAGUACUUUAAAAGUCUCAGCUCCUCUAAACAAAUGCGAAAGGCUUAAAAAUCCAACUUUAAAAUCCAGCCUUGCCACAAUUGCUGAAAAUGUCCUUUAAAGAUAGACCUUUAUGUGAGCAGAGCAGCUUCCUAAACUUGAGAGGAAGACAGCACAGAGCAGUAUCCUUGUUACCAUCAUAGGCAGAUGAGCAAGGGAGGUGGAAAACCAGUCAGCAGACAGUUGGUGUUUGAAGGGAAUUAAAUCUUUCACUUUCUGACCACACAGAUUAGACACGAGGAGAAAAUGUUUGCUGUCUUUGGUUAUCUUGUGGCACUGAAGAGCAGCCAUCAAAGGGAAACAGUGUGCCUUCUGGGAUAAUCGUUGGGCAAGGGACUGGAUGCAGCAGAUAAAGGAAGAUGACGCUUACACUGAGAGGCUGAGCGGCAAAAACCAAAGAUUAGUGACUGGGGAUUGCCCUCACCUAUGGGGAAAAGGAAAUGGUACGAGAAUGAAAGCAACGCAAAAACCUCAGGAAAUUUGGGAUCAUUGAAUGUAGUCUCGAAACAGCGCGUACUGCCUUAAAUUUCCCAUUGAAGUUUUGCUGUUGUGAUCAAGUUCACAUUUUGUAGUUUAUAGAGGAGGCAUUUGCUGCAGCUCAACUUUUGCAGUAUUUAUGUAGGCAAAAUUCCCAGUGUUUUAAGGGGAUUUUUCCAUGAGUAGGUAUGGGCUCUUUAGGGGUUACUUUCGACUGGGUGAGGACUUGGAGUCUGCACAAUUACCAUACCGUAAGUAUUAAUAGAUCCUUCCUAAUAGGAAAGUUAUUUGAAUUUAAGAUUGUAGCUUAGUUUCUCUAAACUCCACAUAAUCUAUUUACUUACACUACAGCUUUCCUUCUGCACUUCCUAAUCUCCAGCAGUAAAGAUUCAAAACGCCGCACAAGAUGCAACUCCUGUGUGUAUCAGUGGAAAUGGCACUGUAAGUAAGUAACGCCAUGCUCCUGGAACACAUUUAGUGCCAUUGCAAAGCCAGGAUUUGGUCCUGGGAGCAAUUCAGCCCAACUCUGCCCUAUAAUUGAGACCUAAUCAGUCCCUCCGUGGGCCAGCUCCUCUCUUCUGAAAGAUGGAGGGGUUUUGUUUCUUGCCUACCCUCGAGUCUGUACGUGCCAAGGUUUCAGAUCAGUGAGUGAGCCUGUGAGGAUGCUUCUCCACGUGACGGCCUCGCUUCAUUCAGCUCAGUGCCAAACUGAAAACAGUCUUACCCACCCAAGUCAGAGGUAUGUGCUGCCACUUUGCACCCCGUGCCGGCUCCUGAGCUCCUUUGAACCCCACCUCAGAGCCAAAUUAACUGGUUACCUUGUAGAAAACUAACUAAAGAAAAAAAGCAAAGUUUUGAUAGGUUGUCCUGUGUCAAUGAGCUGAAGAGCAGCAAGGCAGCUCCUACCAGCACCGGACCCAGCACAAGGGGAUGCUGAGGCUGAGAGAUGUGGGAUGCAGGGUGCGUGUAAAACAGGAACAGUAGCUGCCCUGGGGCACUCUGCAACCCAGAUAAAACAGCAGCAGACCUGUUUCCCAACACCAUCCUGAUCCAAGGACAAGGAGAUGAGUGAAGUUUGUACCCCUCUCCCCCAGACACUGGCAGGACUAGCUCCACGUAAGCCUCCUCCCCUCCCCUCUGACUCAGCCCUAAUGCUAUGCUCAGCUUUUCACUCUCCUUCCUCAGGCAACUCAGGUCACUUUUCUUCACUCCCUCCUCGCUGACUGGCAGCUUGAUAUCACUCAACACGCCCAACUGUCCGCGCCAGCACCCCUGGGAUACGUGUCCGCUCCCAUCUGAGCGCAGGAUACGGCCUCCCCCUCCCUUGCCAUGACUUCUCAGGCUGUCUCCCGAGCUCAGCACCCUGUAUCCCUCUCCCUGUGAAGUCUGAAAGUUUUGGGGCCCACAUGGAAAUUGUGGGAAGGUGCUGGAAGACUGUGAGGAGUUCGGUAAUGUACAGGGUGCUCCCGCUAGCCCGGCAGAGCAGCACCACAGCUUUGAGAGCAGAUAUUACUCCUGCUACGAGUUAAGUCAUUUAUUUGACAAUGAGACAGGGAAAGCCUGAAGGAAAGAGUCAGAGCAAGGAAACAUGCCUGGAGGGAAGCCUGGGCUGCCAUUCGAUGAUGUUGUGAGAUUCUUCUUUUUGUUCAUCCAGCAGUCCAAGGACCUCAGUGGCUUUUCUGACUCAGUCAGGACACAGUUCAGUGUGGGAAGGGUGGGGAUGCCACGUUCUUUCAUGCUGAGCCAGGAAAGGCCAUGCAAGCCAGGGUUUUACGUGGCAGCUCCAGCAGACUGAAGUUAUUUUAGAAUAGUUUGGUCUUUCUCCUCUUCUGAGGAGUUCUUUCUUAAUGUAUAUGCAUGAGUAAGCAAUUAGCUGCAAGGAUAGAAAGAUAUCACCGUGCAGGCCCUUUGCAGCAUUAAAAUGAAUCUGUUCCAGGUUAUAAACAGGUAAGUGCAUGGAGAUUCAACCACGUUUGGCUUUUGGGAAGAGCUGUUCCCGGCAAUAGAUGAUACCUACCAGAAUGGGCACAUCACUGCUCCUACGCACCCAUGAUGGAAGGAGGGAGACACCUCUGCUGCCCAGAACUGGGGGACCGUCAGGCAGCCGUGGCUGGGCUCACGCCAGCCCUAAGGCUGGACACAGUGAGAAGACCCAACACCGUUGUCGGAGGUGACUGAUCACGAGGCAACUCAAGCCUGGAAGCAUCGCAGCUUUGCCAAGUCCCCAAAGCCAAUAUGGGUGAGUUAUCUUAAUGUAAGCAUCCGAGACUUAAAUUAAAUAUGGUUUAUACGUGUGGGUAUAAUGCCAGGCUGGGAGGUUAUGUGCCAUUACAGCUUGCCCAAACGGUGUGCUAAGUUGGGGCUCCACCAGCGUGGAGAUUCCUGCCCCGUGCUCUGCUGUGACAAAGUUGAGGGAAGAAAGUACAGAACUUUAAAAUUUUUUACGGAAGUGCAAAUCCAAACUUCCAACCAUCUAUCUUCUUUUGCCUUGUCUACAGGCUUUAAAUUUCAUUGCAUCUUUCCCCGUUUUGAACAAAAAACCCCACAAACCAACCCGAACCCAAGGUUUUGGGGUUUAGUUUGAGGGAGGGUAAAAGACAAUGCUUAAUUACACUUAGCUCCAAAGGAUGUCUUAAAUUUUUAUAGAAAACUUCCAAAUUUUAAACCAAACCGAAAUAAACUAUGAUAAGGAAAUAAUCUUUCUUUUCCUUCAGGGUGCCUGAAAACUGCAUAACAUAAAAAUAACCCUAAACAAAAGUUGCUUUAAGAACCUUCUAUCUGAGAAAUGUAGAAGAAAACAACCACUAA